GUGCUCGUAGAAAGGAGAGAUGGUUGACAUCUCCCUUACAGGGACGGGAACAACUUUUGAGCUUACCUGCAGUUACACACCGAUUACUAAGUUGCAACAACAAAACAACGCAUCAAUUAAUGAAAUAACGUGUUGUAGUGUUCUAUGUUU
Small nuclear RNA from Malus domestica (apple), 150 nucleotides. The record is from RefSeq and is a predicted model, not a curated record. NCBI's taxonomy places the organism in Eukaryota, Viridiplantae, Streptophyta, Magnoliopsida, Rosales, Rosaceae.